GCAUCAAUGGGGUAGUGGUAACCUGGGUAGUUGAGCCAUGGACAUUGCAUCCCAAGACUCGACCCGCCGGGGGUUCGAUUCCCUCUUGAUGCA
This is a non-coding RNA of Dendrothele bispora CBS 962.96, 93 nucleotides long. The record is from the annotation of a GenBank genome assembly. Lineage: Eukaryota; Fungi; Basidiomycota; Agaricomycetes; Agaricales.